This 479-nucleotide ribosomal RNA is filed under the name uncultured bacterium. RNAcentral describes it as "partial 16S ribosomal RNA". It matches the Rfam family "Bacterial small subunit ribosomal RNA", at positions 28 to 507 of the family's 1533-position model. The record is from RNAcentral.
GAUGAACGCUGGCGGCGUGCUUAACACAUGCAUGUCGAACGAAGCACCUUGAUUUGAUUCUUCGGAUGAAGAUCUUGGUGACUGAGUGGCGGACGGGUGAGUAACGCGUGGGUAACCUGCCUCAUACAGGGGGAUAACAGUUAGAAAUGACUGCUAAUACCGCAUAAGACCACAGCACCGCAUGGUGCAGGGGUAAAAACUCCGGUGGUAUGAGAUGGACCCGCGUCUGAUUAGGUAGUUGGUGGGGUAACGGCCUACCAAGCCGACGAUCAGUAGCCGACCUGAGAGGGUGACCGGCCACAUUGGGACUGAGACACGGCCCAAACUCCUACGGGAGGCAGCAGUGGGGAAUAUUGCACAAUGGGGGAAACCCUGAUGCAGCGACGCCGCGUGAGAGAUGAAGUAUUUCGGUAUGUAAAGCUCUAUCAGCAGGGAAGAAAAUGACGGUACCUGACUAAGAAGCACCGGCUAAAUACGUG